ACACCAUGAAACACGUGCUGUGCUGGAAACCCACCGCUAGUUUUUCUUCCUGUUCUUCUGCUUUCUGCACAUCUACAUCCCAUUGCUGAAAUAAAGUCAGGAACUGCUGGGAGAACUCAUGAUUGAGCUUCUGCCUAUAAAAAGAUAUUAGCUCUUUUACUGCUCCUUUAUUUUGGGGGGUUCACAUUCUUCCUGAAGUACUCUUAACCCUGCCAGCAUUACGACUCCAACUACCUUACCUGACUCAGCACUCCAUGGACCUUUCUUUGUACUGAACGUCAGUACACAAAGCAGAACUCGUUUGUCCCUCCAGACACUGCAAAGCGAUCUUGCCACCUCACAACCUCCAACAGCCUCCACCCACCCUGUGUAGCUUACCUGCUU
This is a long non-coding RNA of Cuculus canorus (common cuckoo), 384 nucleotides long. RefSeq lists it as uncharacterized. The record is from RefSeq and is a predicted model, not a curated record. The transcript has 3 exons. Lineage: Eukaryota; Metazoa; Chordata; Aves; Cuculiformes; Cuculidae.